RNAcentral lists this ribosomal RNA (600 nucleotides) under uncultured bacterium. RNAcentral describes it as "bacterial SSU rRNA". It matches the Rfam family "Bacterial small subunit ribosomal RNA", at positions 84 to 658 of the family's 1533-position model. The record is from RNAcentral.
GUUAGCAGAAAGUGGCGAACGGGUGAGUAACGCGUGGGUAAUCUACCCUGUAAGUGGGGGAUAACCCUCCGAAAGGAGGGCUAAUACCGCAUAAUAUCUUCUCCUCUAAAAGAAGAGAAGAUUAAAGAUGGCCUCUAUACUAUGCUAUCGCUUCAGGAUGAGCCUGCGUCCUAUUAGUUAGUUGGUGGGGUAAUGGCCUACCAAGACCACAAUGGGUAGCCGGUCUGAGAGGAUGUACGGCCACACUGGGACUGAGAUACGGCCCAGACUCCUACGGGAGGCAGCAGUGGGGAAUAUUGCGCAAUGGGGGAAACCCUGACGCAGCGACGCCGCGUGGAUGAUGAAGGCCCUUGGGUUGUAAAAUCCUGUUCUGGGGGAAGAAAGCUUAAAGGUCCAAUAAACCCUUAAGCCUGACGGUACCCCAAGAGAAAGCUCCGGCUAAUUAUGUGCCAGCAGCCGCGGUAACACAUAAGGAGCAAGCGUUAUCCGGAGUUAUUGGGCGUAAAGAGCUCGUAGGCGGUCUUAAAAGUCAGGUGUGAAAUUAUCAGGCUCAACCUGAUAAGGUCAUCUGAAACUUUAAGACUUGAGGUUAGAAGAGGA